AGGUGGUGUGGUGGCCUCAUAGGGCUUGGCUGUGACUUAGAAGGAAAGGCAGGGUUGAGCAAGUAGGGAGGGGCAGAUACUAGGAGAGUAGGUAAGGGAGGGGGCACUUUAGAGGGGCUACUAAGAAGUCCCUCUGCUUGGCCAAGUGCUCAAGCAUCCUCUGACUUCCAAUCCAAGCCUUUCCUUCUCUCUAGCCUUUCCUCAAUGAGCAGCCUUGGUGGAGACAAAGUCACAGUCACUCACCUUGAAGUGAAUUAAAGAGCUGCCAGUCCAUGUGUCUCAAAAUAACAUGAGUUAAACAUCUUAAACAUAUUCAUCAUGUGGCAACAUCAACUCAGAAAGCAGUACAUCUUGGAGGCUGUCACAAACCCAGGGAUUUUUAUCUCAAUAGUGAAUGACUACAGGAUCCCUGGGGCUGAUACUUAUUGCCUCAUCUUCUAUUCCAAUGAACCCAUCCAUCCCCUACCUGUUUUCCCAAAUCUUCACUCCAUUGACAGUCUCUUCCAUUCUACACUUUCAUGGAAGCUCUGCCCUUAACAUCCUAGAGCCCUUCAAGCCUGGUGUGGGCUGUGCUCUCACAAAGGAGUUCAGGCAACAGGGCAGUCCACUUUUUCCUCCCAUCAUCCUGACCCCCAAUGCAUUUCAUCCUUCUUCCUUCUGUACUUGAGGCCAGUCCUUCACCUGUACCCUUCCUAGCUUUUCUCCCCCUGAAAUUUUGCUCCAUUAACCAUGCUUCCUCAAUAGAUUUGACAUCUUUUUGAAUGUUCCCAUCCUCAGCUUGUAAACUUGGCCAGUUUUUCUUAUGACUCCCACCAAAACCUCCCUCGAACCUCUCCCUAAGGUUACUGACAUUUUUACUCGCAAACUUGAUCUUCACUUCUCAGCUUCUGCUCACGUCUUCAUUCUAUAGUAUCUUGGUAUAAUAAAGCUCUCAAUCCCUCAUAACUUCA
RNAcentral lists this long non-coding RNA (950 nucleotides) under Vulpes vulpes (red fox). Its description in RNAcentral is "lncRNA (ENSVVUG00000026605.1)". Lineage: Eukaryota; Metazoa; Chordata; Mammalia; Carnivora; Canidae. The record is from RNAcentral.